GAUGAACGCUGGCGGCGUGCCUAAUACAUGCAAGUCGAGCGAACAGACGAGGAGCUUGCUCCUCUGACGUUAGCGGCGGACGGGUGAGUAACACGUGGAUAACCUACCUAUAAGACUGGGAUAACUUCGGGAAACCGGAGCUAAUACCGGAUAAUAUAUUGAACCGCAUGGUUCAAUAGUGAAAGACGGUUUUGCUGUCACUUAUAGAUGGAUCCGCGCCGCAUUAGCUAGUUGGUAAGGUAACGGCUUACCAAGGCAAUGAUGCGUAGCCGACCUGAGAGGGUGAUCGGCCACACUGGAACUGAGACACGGUCCAGACUCCUACGGGAGGCGGCAGUAGGGAAUCUUCCGCAAUGGGCGAAAGCCUGACGGAGCAACGCCGCGUGAGUGAUGAAGGUCUUCGGACCGUAAAACUCUGUUAUUAGGGAAGAACAAAUGUGUAAGUAACUAUGCACGUCUUGACGGUACCUAAUCAGAAAGCCACGGCUAACUACGUG
This 497-nucleotide ribosomal RNA is filed under the name uncultured bacterium. Its description in RNAcentral is "partial 16S ribosomal RNA". It matches the Rfam family "Bacterial small subunit ribosomal RNA", at positions 28 to 507 of the family's 1533-position model. The record is from RNAcentral.